Molecule: non-coding RNA, 234 nt
Organism: Plectropomus leopardus (leopard coralgrouper)
Lineage: Eukaryota; Metazoa; Chordata; Actinopteri; Perciformes; Serranidae
Source: RefSeq, a predicted model, not a curated record
AAGCACUUGACCGGCUGGAGACAGAGCGAGAGACUGAGUGACACCCCGCCGACGGCAGCGCCUGACAGCUCACCGGAUCUCUUCGUGGGAACGGCAGUAAAAACACUGGAGUGAAUCCUGACUCAUCUUCAGCGCAGAAAACCUCGCCCUUCCUCCUCAGCCUCCCAUGGGUCAAACACACUGCUUUCUGUUUUCACCAGGUGUGUGUGUGUGUGUGUGUUGCUUUUAUUUAGC